RNAcentral lists this non-coding RNA (30 nucleotides) under Rattus norvegicus (Norway rat). The record is from RNAcentral. Lineage: Eukaryota; Metazoa; Chordata; Mammalia; Rodentia; Muridae.
UAGAGUAUACAGAUCAGGUCCCCACUCCCU